This 253-nucleotide ribosomal RNA is filed under the name uncultured bacterium. RNAcentral describes it as "partial 16S ribosomal RNA". It matches the Rfam family "Bacterial small subunit ribosomal RNA", at positions 524 to 776 of the family's 1533-position model. The record is from RNAcentral.
UACGAAGGGGGCUAGCGUUGCUCGGAAUCACUGGGCGUAAAGCGCACGUAGGCGGACUCUUAAGUCAGGGGUGAAAUCCUGGAGCUCAACUCCAGAACUGCCCUUGAAACUGCAGUGCUAGAAUCUUGGAGAGGCGAGUGGAAUUCCGAGUGUAGAGGUGAAAUUCGUAGAUAUUCGGAAGAACACCAGUGGCGAAGGCGACUCGCUGGACAAGUAUUGACGCUGAGGUGCGAAAGCGUGGGGAGCAAACAGG